Molecule: ribosomal RNA, 253 nt
Filed under: uncultured bacterium
Lineage: Bacteria
Description: partial 16S ribosomal RNA
Rfam family: Bacterial small subunit ribosomal RNA
Source: RNAcentral
UACGUAGGGUGCAAGCGUUAAUCGGAAUUACUGGGCUUAAAGCGUGCGCAGGCGGUUAUGCAAGACAGAUGUGAAAUCCCCGGGCUUAACCUGGGAACCGCAUUUGUGACUGCAUAGCUGGAGUACGGCAGAGGGGGAUGGAAUUCCGCGUGUAGCAGUGAAAUGCGUAGAUAUGCGGAGGAACACCGAUGGCGAAGGCAGUCCCCUGGGCCUGUACUGACGCUCAUGCACGAAAGCGUGGGGAGCAAACAGG